RNAcentral lists this ribosomal RNA (428 nucleotides) under uncultured Bacillota bacterium. RNAcentral's name for it is "bacterial SSU rRNA". It matches the Rfam family "Bacterial small subunit ribosomal RNA", at positions 958 to 1385 of the family's 1533-position model. Lineage: Bacteria; Bacillati; Bacillota. The record is from RNAcentral.
AACGCGAAGAACCUUACCAGGUCUUGACAUCCCAAUGUAAGAUGCAGAGAUGUGUCCCCUCUUCGGAGCAUUGGAGACAGGUGGUGCAUGGUUGUCGUCAGCUCGUGUCGUGAGAUGUUGGGUUAAGUCCCGCAACGAGCGCAACCCUUGAACUUAGUUGCCAGCACUUCGGGUGGGCACUCUAGGUUGACUGCCGGUGACAAACCGGAGGAAGGCGGGGAUGACGUCAAAUCAUCAUGCCCCUUAUGACCUGGGCUACACACGUACUACAAUGGCCGGUACAACGGGCUGCGAAACCGCGAGGUGGAGCCAAUCCUAUCAAAGCCGGUCUCAGUUCGGAUUGCAGGCUGCAACUCGCCUGCAUGAAGUCGGAAUUGCUAGUAAUCGCGGAUCAGCAUGCCGCGGUGAAUACGUUCCCGGGCCUUGUA